CUGACAUUGCAUUGAAAUGCUUCUCAGCUCUGCUUUAUCCUUUUCUGUAAGGCUCACUUUCAUCUCUCACCCUAAAAUUCCUCUUCCUUCCUAACAUGACACCAAGCAGCUAAAUGUUACCUCCUCCAUGACACCAAACACUUUCAGACAGGAUCUUACCCUCCCCUUAAAUGAAGACAUUACAGGCUUUAGCUGUUACCCCCCACUAAGGGCACCUCAGAGGACAGAUUCUUUGAUUUCCCCCAGUUAACAAAUGGUCUAUAUUUACCAGCUCACCCUUGCUGAGGAUGCCAGCUAUCAUUUCCUUUUGGUAUCCAGUCAAAUUAACCUGCUGUUGCAUCAGUCUCACAGUAACCUGACAGCAACAAGAGAUGGUCACAUAGUGCAAUGUAAAACAUUUAGGAAAGUCUGCCUUUUACCUGGGCUUUGGUCUUUGUGCUCCCUGCUAGGCUGCCCUGGUGCACUUGGAAGUCAUUGUUCCCGUUUUCACUCAGAAGCCACUGCUUUGGAAGCAUCACAUAAGGCAGUGAGCAAACCAAUGACUGAGGUGGGAAGGAAGCCUUUCACAAAAACAACCCAAAAAAAAUUCUAAAAAGAGGUAAGGAAGCUGAGAUUGAGAGAUGUUAAAAGUCACUAAAUUAAUCAAUGGGUGAAUCAGGAAUCAAAUUCAUCUUCCCAACUUCAAGUUCAAGACUCUAGUCUCUCCCUAGCUGCUUCCAAAUGUUGUCUCUUUCAUGUCGUUCCCUUUCAAUUUGCCCUCUUGUUUUUUGUGUACUUGAUGUUUCCAUGUUCUCUUAUCCAUUAAAAUGUAUACUCCCUAAAAGCAAA
Antechinus flavipes (yellow-footed antechinus) is the source of this 828-nucleotide long non-coding RNA. RefSeq lists it as uncharacterized. The record is from RefSeq and is a predicted model, not a curated record. NCBI's taxonomy places the organism in Eukaryota, Metazoa, Chordata, Mammalia, Dasyuromorphia, Dasyuridae. The transcript has 2 exons.